RNAcentral lists this ribosomal RNA (107 nucleotides) under Burkholderia ubonensis. RNAcentral's name for it is "partial 23S ribosomal RNA". It matches the Rfam family "Bacterial large subunit ribosomal RNA", at positions 2825 to 2925 of the family's 2925-position model. Lineage: Bacteria; Pseudomonadati; Pseudomonadota; Betaproteobacteria; Burkholderiales; Burkholderiaceae. The record is from RNAcentral.
CCUUGAAGGGUCGUUCGAGACCAGGACGUUGAUAGGUCAGGUGUGUAAGCGCAGUAAUGCGUUCAGCUAACUGAUACUAAUUGCCCGUAAGGCUUGAUCCUAUAACC